UGAAUACGAGGCACUAAGGUGCUGAAGUAGUGUAUGUCAUACUUCCAAGAAAAGCUUGCACUAUCGUAAGAUAAAAAUGCCUGUACCAUAACCGACACAGGUGGGUAGGUAGAGUAUACUAAGGGGCGCGAGAUAACUCUCUCUAAGGAACUCGGCAAAAUAACUCCGUAACUUCGGGAGAAGGAGUGCCUUAUUCUAUAAGGUUGCAAUAACAAGAUCCAAGCAACUGUUUAUCAAAAACACAGGUCUCCGCUAAGUCGUAAGACGAUGUAUGGGGGCUGACGCCUGCCCAGUGCCAGAAGGUUAAAGAAGUCGGUUAGCAAUUGCGAAGCUGGUAACUGAAGCCCUGGUGAACGGCGGCCGUAACAAUAACGGUCCUAAGGUAGCGAAAUUCCUUGUCGGGUAAGUUCCGACCCGCACGAAAGGCGUAAUGAUUUGGAUACUGUCUCGGAGAGGGACUCGGUGAAAUAGACUUGUCUGUGAAGAUGCGGACUACCUGCACCAGGACAGAAAGACCCUAUUAAGCUUUACUGUAACUUGAAAUUGAAAUUGGACUUUAUUCGCGCAGUAUAGGUGGGAGGCGUUGAUUAUAAUCUUGUGGGAUUAUUGGAGCCAUUAGUGACAUACCACUCUUGUAAUGUUAGAUUUCUAACUUUGAAUCAUGAUCUGGUCAAAGAACAGUUUCAGGCGGGCAGUUUGACUGGGGCGGUCGCCUCCUAAAUGGUAACGGAGGCGUACAAAGGUUUCCUCUGAACGGGUAGAAAUCGUAUCUAGAGUGUAAUGCAUAAGGAAGCUUGACUGUGAGACCUACAAGUCGAGCAGGGACGAAAGUCGGUCUUAGUGAUCUGACGGUACUGAGUGGAAAGGCCGUCACUCAACGGAUAAAAGUUACUCUAAGGAUAACAGGCUGAUCUCCCCCAAGAGUUCACAUCGACGGGGAGGUUUGGCACCUCGAUGUCGGCUCAUCGCAUCCUGGGGCGGUAGUACGUCCCAAGGGUUGGGCUGUUCGCCCAUGAAAGCGGUACGCGAGCUGGGUUCGGAACGUCGUGAGACAGUUCGGUCCAUAUCCGGUGUAGGCGUUAGAAUAUUGAGAGGAGCCUUCUUUAGUACGAGAGGACCGAGAAGGACAUACCUCUGGUGUACCAGUUAUCGUGCCAACGGUAAACGCUGGGUAGCUAUGUAUGGAGUGGAUAACCGCUGAAAGCAUCUAAGUGGGAAGCCCACCUCAAGAUAAGUAUUCC
RNAcentral lists this ribosomal RNA (1241 nucleotides) under metagenome. RNAcentral describes it as "bacterial LSU rRNA". It matches the Rfam family "Bacterial large subunit ribosomal RNA", at positions 1564 to 2814 of the family's 2925-position model. The record is from RNAcentral.